Molecule: ribosomal RNA, 253 nt
Filed under: uncultured bacterium
Lineage: Bacteria
Description: partial 16S ribosomal RNA
Rfam family: Bacterial small subunit ribosomal RNA
Source: RNAcentral
UACAGAGGUCUAGAGCGUUAGGCGGAAUCACUGGGCUUAAAGCGUGUGUAGGCGGGUCGGUAAGUACCUUGUGAAAUCCCACGGCUCAACCGUGGAACUGCUGGGUAUACUGCCGAUCUUGUGCAACCUAGGGGCGAGCGGAACAGAUGGUGGAGCGGUGAAAUGCGUAGAUAUCAUCUGGAACGCCAAUGGUGAAAACAGCUCGCUGGGGGUUUGCAGACGCUGAGACACGAAAGCCAGGGGAGCGAACGGG